Molecule: transfer RNA, 85 nt
Filed under: Bradyrhizobium sp.
Lineage: Bacteria; Pseudomonadati; Pseudomonadota; Alphaproteobacteria; Hyphomicrobiales; Nitrobacteraceae
Also listed under: 6 other names
Description: tRNA-Leu
Rfam family: tRNA
About the family: Transfer RNA (tRNA) molecules are approximately 80 nucleotides in length.
Source: RNAcentral
GCCCAGGUGGCGGAAUUGGUAGACGCACUGGUUUCAGGUACCAGCGGUGCAAGCCGUGAAGGUUCGAGUCCUUUCCUGGGCACCA